This 103-nucleotide non-coding RNA is filed under the name mouse gut metagenome. RNAcentral describes it as "SAM riboswitch (S box leader)". It matches the Rfam family "SAM riboswitch aptamer (S box leader)". Rfam says of the family: The SAM riboswitch is found upstream of a number of genes which code for proteins involved in methionine or cysteine biosynthesis in Gram-positive bacteria. The record is from RNAcentral. RNAcentral also lists the same sequence under 1 other name.
CUCAUCAAGAGCGGCGGAGGGAAUGGCCCUGUGAAACCGCAGCAACCAUUGCAGAGUAACUGCUGUAAACGGUGCUAAGUCCUGCGAGUAAUCGUAAGAUGAG